AGGACGAACGCUGGCGGCGUGCCUAACACAUGCAAGUCGAGCGGGGACAUGCGACGGAUAGGAAGAUUUCGGUUGGACUUGAAGAUGCAUUGUUCUAGCGGCGGACGGGUGAGUAACGCGUGAGCAACCUGUCCCUUACAGGGGAUAACACAGCGAAAGUUGUACUAAUACCGCAUAAGACCACGGGAGGACAUCCUUCAGGGGUCAAAGGAGGAAUCCGGUAAGGGGUGGGCUCGCGUCCGAUUAGAUAGUUGGUGAGGUAACGGCCCACCAAGUCGACGAUCGGUAGCCGACCUGAGAGGGUGAUCGGCCACAUUGGGACUGAGACACGGCCCAAACUCCUACGGGAGGCAGCAGUGGGGAAUAUUGGGCAAUGGGGGAAACCCUGACCCAGCAACGCCGCGUGAGGGAAGAAGGUUUUCGGAUCGUAAACCUCUGUCCUUGGUGAAGAGGAAGAGACGGUAGCCAAGGAGGAAGCCCCGGCUAACUACGUGCCAGCCGCAGC
Molecule: ribosomal RNA, 505 nt
Filed under: uncultured bacterium
Lineage: Bacteria
Description: bacterial SSU rRNA
Rfam family: Bacterial small subunit ribosomal RNA
Source: RNAcentral